UUCUGCUCAAUGAAUGAUCAUUUCAUAAUGUUAACCUUUGAUCAAAGUAUAACAAUCCCCCCUUUUUUUCUCACAACAGACUAUAAAUUGUAAUUUCAGUAAGCUGGGUGACUAUACCAUUUGUAGGUAUAUAUCCUGUAUUUAUUAACUUACUCGUAUUUAUUAUUUUCAUUUAUUUUUUACUCAUUUUUUUUUCAUUUCUUUUCUGUACAAUGUUUUAUUAUUUUCUUUAUUAUUUUAUUGGCAAAUAUACAUGAAGAUAUAGAAAUUUAUAGC
RNAcentral lists this long non-coding RNA (276 nucleotides) under Mytilus galloprovincialis (Mediterranean mussel). The record is from RNAcentral. Lineage: Eukaryota; Metazoa; Mollusca; Bivalvia; Mytilida; Mytilidae.